AAUAGAUACCCUGGUAGUCCAUGCCGUAAACGGUGGGCGCUAGGUGUGAGGGUCUUUCUACGACUUUCGUGCCGUAGCUAACGCAUUAAGCGCCCCGCCUGGGGAGUACGGCCGCAAGGCUAAAACUCAAAGGAAUUGAUGGGGGCCCGCACAAGCGGCGGAGCAUGUGGAUUAAUUCGAUGCAACGCGAAGAACCUUACCUGGGCUUGACAUACAUCAGAUCGCUGCAGAGAUGUAGUUUCCCUUUGUGGUUGGUGUACAGGUGGUGCAUGGUUGUCGUCAGCUCGUGUCGUGAGAUGUUGGGUUAAGUCCCGCAACGAGCGCAACCCUUGUCUUAUGUUGCCAGCAUUUGGUUGGGGACUCAUGAGAGACUGCCGGGGUUAACUCGGAGGAAGGUGGGGAUGACGUCAAAUCAUCAUGCCCCUUAUGUCCAGGGCUUCACACAUGCUACAAUGGUCGGUACAACGCGCUGCGACACUGUGAGGUGGAGCGAAUCGCUGAAAGCCGGCCUUAGUUCGGU
RNAcentral lists this ribosomal RNA (520 nucleotides) under uncultured bacterium. RNAcentral's name for it is "bacterial SSU rRNA". It matches the Rfam family "Bacterial small subunit ribosomal RNA", at positions 777 to 1297 of the family's 1533-position model. The record is from RNAcentral.